UAAGAGAUCGAGCGCCCGGAUUAGCCGGUCGCGAGUUCCCAUUCAAAUUACCUGCAUCAAGCGCGCCAGCCGAACCCCGGGUCUGUAGCUCAGUUGGUUAGAGCGCACCCCUGAUAAGGGUGAGGUCGGAAGUUCGACUCUUCCCAGGCCCACCAUUUAGUUGGGGCCAUAGCUCAGCUGGGAGAGCGCCUGCUUUGCAAGCAGGAGGUCAUCGGUUCGAUCCCGAUCGGCUCCACCAGCCCCUUCCGGCGGUUUUCGGUUUUUCGGCCCGUGUGAUGAGCGUUGCGUCCAGGACAGGGCGCAAUGCUGAUCGCACGGGCGCACAGGCGCCCAGCUCUUUAACAAAAAAACGAAAUGUAGAUAACGCAAUGCAUCAACGCGAUGAUUCAAUUUGUUGAAUCGCGUUUUGUAGUAUGUGUCGCAUUCGCGAGAGAUCAGCAAGGAAGAUAGCCCCUGGCUCAUUGGGGUUAUAUGGUCAAGCGACUAAGCGCACAUGGUGGAUGCCUUGGCGGCAGAAGGCGAUGAAGGACGUGGUAGCCUGCGAUAAGCCUCGGGGAGCCGGCAAACUGGCUUUGAUCCGGGGAUUU
RNAcentral lists this unclassified non-coding RNA (587 nucleotides) under uncultured bacterium. RNAcentral's name for it is "partial contains 16S-23S ribosomal RNA intergenic spacer and 23S ribosomal RNA". The stretch from base 474 to 587 matches the Rfam family "Bacterial large subunit ribosomal RNA", at positions 1 to 113 of the family's 2925-position model. The record is from RNAcentral.